CCAAAUCCUAGCUCCUACCCAUGCCGAUUCGACACAAUUCCACUCCCUCCAAUGCACAUCAAGGUUCUAUAUUUCUGAUACUCCUUUCUUUUCUUAUUCCACUUCCUCCAACAUAGCAUAGUAGUAUAAAAUAAAGCACAGUUAAACAACAUACAAUUAUUCUAAAGAAAAUUAUCUAGCUCCCCUUAUACAUAUACUCAUUC
RNAcentral lists this long non-coding RNA (203 nucleotides) under Vigna radiata. Its description in RNAcentral is "long non-coding RNA (VRAD_LNC000860)". The record is from RNAcentral. Lineage: Eukaryota; Viridiplantae; Streptophyta; Magnoliopsida; Fabales; Fabaceae.